Molecule: ribosomal RNA, 253 nt
Filed under: uncultured bacterium
Lineage: Bacteria
Description: partial 16S ribosomal RNA
Rfam family: Bacterial small subunit ribosomal RNA
Source: RNAcentral
UACAGAGGGUGCAAGCGUUAAUCGGAAUUACUGGGCGUAAAGCGUGCGCAGGCGGUUAUAUAAGACAGUUGUGAAAUCCCCGGGCUCAACCUGGGAAUUUCAUCUGUGACUGUAUAGCUAGAGUACGGUAGAGGGGGAUGGAAUUCCGCGUGUAGCAGUGAAAUGCGUAGAUAUGCGGAGGAACACCGAUGGCGAAGGCAAUCCCCUGGACCUGUACUGACGCUCAUGCACGAGAGCGUGGGGAGCAAACAGG